AACGAACGCUGGCGGCAUGCCUAACACAUGCAAGUCGAACGAGACCUUCGGGUCUAGUGGCGCACGGGUGCGUAACGCGUGGGAACCUGCCUUUAGGUUCGGAAUAACUCAGAGAAAUUUGAGCUAAUACCGGAUAAUGUCUUCGGACCAAAGAUUUAUCGCCUUUAGAUGGGCCCGCGUUGGAUUAGCUAGUUGGUGGGGUAAAGGCCUACCAAGGCGACGAUCCAUAGCUGGUCUGAGAGGAUGAUCAGCCACACUGGGACUGAGACACGGCCCAGACUCCUACGGGAGGCAGCAGUGGGGAAUAUUGGACAAUGGGCGAAAGCCUGAUCCAGCAAUGCCGCGUGAGUGAUGAAGGCCUUAGGGUUGUAAGCUCUUUACCCGAGAUGAUAAUGACAGUAUCGGGAGAAUAAGCUCCGGCUAAC
RNAcentral lists this ribosomal RNA (425 nucleotides) under uncultured bacterium. Its description in RNAcentral is "bacterial SSU rRNA". It matches the Rfam family "Bacterial small subunit ribosomal RNA", at positions 29 to 501 of the family's 1533-position model. The record is from RNAcentral.